AUUGAACGCUGGCGGCAGGCCUAACACAUGCAAGUCGAACGGUAGCACAGAGAGCUUGCUCUUGGGUGACGAGUGGCGGACGGGUGAGUAAUGUCUGGGAAACUGCCCGAUGGAGGGGGAUAACUACUGGAAACGGUAGCUAAUACCGCAUAACGUCUUCGGACCAAAGUGGGGGACCUUCGGGCCUCACACCAUCGGAUGUGCCCAGAUGGGAUUAGCUAGUAGGUGGGGUAAAGGCUCACCUAGGCGACGAUCCCUAGCUGGUCUGAGAGGAUGACCAGCCACACUGGAACUGAGACACGGUCCAGACUCCUACGGGAGGCAGCAGUGGGGAAUAUUGCACAAUGGGCGCAAGCCUGAUGCAGCCAUGCCGCGUGUAUGAAGAAGGCCUUCGGGUUGUAAGGUACUUUCAGCGGGGAGGAAGGCGUUAAGGUUAAUAACCUUGGCGAUUGACGUUACCCGCAGGAGAAGCACCGGCUAACUCCGUGCCAGCAGCCGCCGUAA
This 504-nucleotide ribosomal RNA is filed under the name uncultured bacterium. RNAcentral describes it as "partial 16S ribosomal RNA". It matches the Rfam family "Bacterial small subunit ribosomal RNA", at positions 30 to 523 of the family's 1533-position model. The record is from RNAcentral.